This 333-nucleotide unclassified non-coding RNA is filed under the name Hevea brasiliensis (rubber tree). Lineage: Eukaryota; Viridiplantae; Streptophyta; Magnoliopsida; Malpighiales; Euphorbiaceae. The record is from RNAcentral.
CGUGAAACUGGAUAAAGACAUCAACAAGGUCAAUUCAGAGGCUCUAUUACUGGUUUCCCGAUCCACCGAGCUUUUUCUCCGAUUCCUCGCAGAGAAAUCAGCAGAAGUUGCUAUCGAGAGGAAGCGAAAGAUCGUGAAACUCGAUCACAUCCGAGUUGCCGUUAAGAGGCAUCAGCCAACCAGUGAUUUCCUUCUUGACUCGCUUCCUGCGCCAACUCAGUCCUCCGAUAAGCAGCCAGCUGAGAAGACUCAUCCUUCUCCCGUGCCCGAUAAACCUCUCCCCCCUGGCACUCGCCGGAUUGACGAUUUCUUUGCUAAGUCGGCAAAUGAAGC